UACGUAGGGCGCAAGCGUUGUCCGGAAUUAUUGGGCGUAAAGAGCUCGUAGGCGGCUUGUCACGUCGGGUGUGAAAGACCGGGGCUUAACCCCGGUUCUGCAUUCGAUACGGGCUGGCUAGAGUGUGGUAGGGGAGAUCGGAAUUCCUGGUGUAGCGGUGAAAUGCGCAGAUAUCAGGAGGAACACCGGUGGCGAAGGCGGGUCUCUGGGCCGAUACUGACGCUGAGGAGCGAAAGCCAGGGGAGCAAACGGG
This 253-nucleotide ribosomal RNA is filed under the name uncultured bacterium. Its description in RNAcentral is "partial 16S ribosomal RNA". It matches the Rfam family "Bacterial small subunit ribosomal RNA", at positions 524 to 776 of the family's 1533-position model. The record is from RNAcentral.